UGACCUGAUCAUGCUUACUGAGC
Molecule: microRNA, 23 nt
Filed under: Bos taurus (domestic cattle)
Lineage: Eukaryota; Metazoa; Chordata; Mammalia; Artiodactyla; Bovidae
Description: bta-miR-2323
Source: miRBase by way of RNAcentral